Molecule: ribosomal RNA, 2434 nt
Filed under: Lepocinclis oxyuris var. helicoidea
Lineage: Eukaryota; Euglenozoa; Euglenophyceae; Euglenales; Phacaceae
Description: SSU rRNA
Rfam family: Eukaryotic small subunit ribosomal RNA
Source: RNAcentral
GUCAUAUGCUUUUUUCAAGGACUAAGCCAUGCAUGUCUCAGCGUACACGGCUCUUCCCACAGUGGGUCUGUGAAUGGCUCCUUACAUCAGCAGUCAUCUCCAUGAUAGAGUGUGGAUGGCACCAACUCCUGCCAGGUGCCCGUUUGGACAUCCUCCGAAACCUGGUGGCUAAUACACGGUCGCAGAGCUCCGCCAUGUGCACGUUUGCCCGAGCUUUCCAUUGCCCGCCUGACGGUGGUGGAUUGCACCCAGCCGCUGAGAAGACCAGCGCCUGUGAAAAGGGCAGCGUGUGCAGGACUGAAUCAGGCUGGUCCCAUUGGGACGGAUGCGCUGGCAGAGAGAUUGGUGGCCCCGUGCCACACAUCAUUGCUUGAUCACACGAACUUCUGACCUAUCAGCCUUGACUGUGGUGCAGUGGACCACAGUGGCAGUCACGGGUAACGGAGAAUCAGGGUUCGAUUCCGGAGAGGGAGCCUGAGAGACGGCUACCACUACCAAGGUGGGCAGCAGGCACGCAAAUUGCCCAAUGCUGAGACGCUUCUGGUGAGGCAGCGACGAACUGCAGCAACUCUGCCAGUCUCUCACGACUGGCAUUGCUUGGAAUGGAUGCAAUCCAAACACAGUGAUGAGUAUCAACUGGAGGGCAAGUCUGGUGCCAGCAGCUGCGGUAAUUCCAGCUCCAAGGGCGUAUACUGACAUUGCUGCUGUUAAAACACUUGUAGUCGGACGCAGGGUGCAGGUCUGACAAGUGGCUGGUGCGGAUUUCUGAGAUGGUGGCUGUGUGCUCCCCAGGCGCAACUUUGUCGGGGAACACGCCCCGACUGCCUCGCACAGGGGUCAAACCCUGCUGUGGGGUGGAUGGGGUCGUGUCGCUACUCGGUCCUCUGCGCUGGACAAAACCCUUGUCAGUAUGUUCCUUCACCCGUCUUCUCAUCGAUGGUGCGAUGGCUCCUGCUCCAAGUCCCCUUCAGUGGGGAUCGAUGCGGUUGUACACCCGACGCUUGUGUGUGGCGAACGGAGGGCACAGUCUUCUGGGAGCACUGUGCAGCUUCACCUCCUGCCCACCACCGGAGUCCACCGUCCAUUGUCACCGUGGAGAACUCAGAGUGCUCAAAGCAUCCGACCUGGCUUGGAUGAUCGUCCAUGGAAUGUCAAAGCAUCGACCGGAUGUGGCCAAACGGAGUUGUGCUGGCCUUGGUGCUCAUCCCGGGGAACGUGGUGCCAUGACUGGCGGUCCUGCUAGUCUUCCAUUCACUCGGCGGCCGCUCGCAAGAGUGGUCUGCCUUGGAGCGGGGUUGGCGUGGUGGGGUCGUUUCAGCUCUGGUACCGAUCGGCCUCGAUGGGACUGCUCGGGGUGAAGGAUACUGCAGCGCCAGAGGUGAAAUUCUUAGACCGCUGCAAGAUCAACUGCAGCGAAGGCGCUCUGCAAGUGCAUGUUCGUCGAUCAAGAAUGAGAGUGUGGGGAGCGAAGAUGAUCAGACACCGUCGUAGUCCACGACUGUCAACUAUGCCAGCUCGGUGCCGGUGGUGAAAGUGCACAGACAUCAUCAGCGCCAAUCCCCUUGCCUCGAGAAAUCCACAAGCCUGUGGGUUCAGGGGGGAGUACGGUCGCAAGGCUGAAACUUAAAGGAAUUGACGGAAUGGCACCACAAGGCGUGGAGUAUGCGGCUUAAUUUGACUCAACACGGGGAAUGUUACCAGGUCAGGACACUGCUGGGAUGGACAGAUUGAGAGCUCUUUCUUGAUCCUCUGGAUGGUGGUGCAUGGCCGCUCCUGAUUGGUGGAGUGAUUUGUCUGGUUGAUUCCGAUAACGAGUGAGAUCUCUGCCUCCCAAUAGCCGCAGGCUCGCAUCUGUAGGGUUGGCAGUGGUUUGGAUCCUCGCCCUGUCCGGGGUGCAAGCCCUGGCUGGGUGAGACCUUCCGCUCCACAUCGCUGCCCGAGAGCCCUGUGACAAAGCUUCUCUGAGGUGCUGCGGACGCCACCAAGUUCUCGCAUGCUAGAGCCAACAGCAGGUCUGUGAUGCUCCCAGAUGUCCUGGGCCGCACGCGCACUACAUUGGUCCGGUGAAUGUGCUGAGCCACGCGCCUCGGCGGGACCUGCCCGGAAGUGGGCGGGAAACCCCGAGAGCCCGUGCUGCCGUACUGGGGAUUUAUGAUUGCAACUGUCUGCCUUGAACGAGGAAUGCCUAGUAGGCGCAGGUCAUCAGCCUGCACCGAUUGUGUCCCUGCCAUUUGUACACACCGCCCGUCGUUGCUACCGAUGGUAGCGGGAUAGAGCCAUCCGGAGGCCACUGCCUCUUCCGUCGGGGUUCAGUCUCCGCAGCUCCUCCUCGGAGGUCCUGUGGGCUGGUGCUCUGCCGGGAGGUUGGUGCCAAAAUCGGGCAAUGUCCUGCUGCUAGAGGAAGCAAAAGUCGUAACAAGGUAGCUGUAGGUGA